CGGCGGAACACGUGAAAUUCCGUCGGAAUCCGGGAGGACCAUCUCCCAAGGCUAAAUACUCCCUAGUGACCGAUAGUGAACCAGUACCGUGAGGGAAAGGUGAAAAGCACCCCGGAAGGGGAGUGAAACAGUUCCUGAAACCGUGUGCCUACAAGUAGUUAGAGCCCGUUAAUGGGUGAUAGCGUGCCUUUUGUAGAAUGAACCGGCGAGUUACGAUUUGUUGCAAGGUUAAGCGGAAAAAGCGGAGCCGUAGCGAAAGCGAGUCUGAAUAGGGCGCAUAAGUAACAGGUCGUAGACCCGAAACCAGGUGAUCUACCCAUGUCCAGGAUGAAGGUAAGGUAAUACUUACUGGAGGUCCGAACCCACGCACGUUGAAAAGUGCGGGGAUGAGGUGUGGGUAGCGGAGAAAUUCCAAUCGAACUUGGAGAUAGCUGGUUCUCUCCGAAAUAGCUUUAGGGCUAGCCUCGAGGUAAAGAGUCAUGGAGGUAGAGCACUGUUUGGACUAGGGGCCCUUCUCGGGUUACCGAAUUCAGAUAAACUCCGAAUGCCAUGUACUUAUACUCGGGAGUCAGACUGCGAGUGAUAAGAUCCGUAGUCGAAAGGGAAACAGCCCAGACCACCAGUUAAGGUCCCCAAAUAUAUGUUAAG
This 648-nucleotide ribosomal RNA is filed under the name Listeria monocytogenes. Its description in RNAcentral is "partial 23S ribosomal RNA". It matches the Rfam family "Bacterial large subunit ribosomal RNA", at positions 415 to 1063 of the family's 2925-position model. The record is from RNAcentral. Lineage: Bacteria; Bacillati; Bacillota; Bacilli; Caryophanales; Listeriaceae.